RNAcentral lists this ribosomal RNA (497 nucleotides) under uncultured bacterium. Its description in RNAcentral is "partial 16S ribosomal RNA". It matches the Rfam family "Bacterial small subunit ribosomal RNA", at positions 28 to 507 of the family's 1533-position model. The record is from RNAcentral.
GAUGAACGCUGGCGGCGUGCCUAAUACAUGCAAGUCGAGCGAACAGACGAUGAGCUUGCUCCUCUCUCGUUUGCGGCGGACGUGUGAGUAACGCGUGGAUACCCUCCCUAUAAUACUGAUAUAACUUCGGGACUCCGGCUCUAAUACCGUAUAAUCUCUUGCACCGUAUGGUUGAAUAGUGAAAUACGGUUUUUCUGUCACUUAUCGCUGCAUACGGGCCGCAUUGGCUAGUUGGUAAGGUAACGGCCUACCACGGCAACGAUGCGUAGACGACCUGAGAGGGUGGUCGCCCACACUGGAACGUAGACGGGGUCAAGAGGACUAAGGGAGGCCGCAGAAGGGUAUGUGACGCAACGGGCGAAAGCAUGACGGAGCAACGCCGCGUGAGAGAUGAAGACCUUCGGAGCGUAAAAAUCUGUUAUUAGGGAAGAACAAAUGUGUAAGUAACUAAGCACGUCGUGACGGUAAUGAAUCAGAAAGCAACGGCUAACUACGUG